UGCCCUUCCCCACGCCCCCGGCAAAGCUGCCUCGUCUUGACACCAGGCCCCGCCCUGAGAGCGGAGCCCCCACGGACGAGAGCCCGCGGCGCCGGUGGUGGCGAUGAUGACGGCUAUGAUGUCUGUGGUUGACAACACGGCUCCGGCAGAGUGAUGUAGCAACGGCGGUCACUUGGGUGGCAUCGCUUGGGUUUUGGCUUCGUUUGCAGUUCCACGGUCGCGCCACGUAGCUGGGGUUUCCAGGUUGUGUGAGUGCUGGUGUGUGAAAUUGUCAGUGUCUGGCCUUUGGGGACAAUUGCCUAAGACCUCCCCCUCGCCGCCUCUGCACCAUGGUACCUGCUCCAACAAGUCUGUGUGUGUGUGUGUGUGUGUGUGUGUGUGUGUGAGAGAGAGAGAGAGAGAGAGAGAGCGCGCGAGCGAGCACGGGAGGCCAGGGCGGAGCGGGCCGUCCCGAGCCUGGUGAACAGACGGCCACUCUAUUAUUUCAGGGCUUCCUGCCUGGCCCGCAGCUGCCCCGGGCGAGCGGUGAGCUGUGCAGGCCCCGCCGUUUCCUCCGUGUCAACCUUGAUCUCAGCCCGCUGGGGCGGAGGCCGUCGGCUGGCCCUGACUAGCGUUGCACGUGGCGGAGAGCCUUUCUGAACGAUUGUUGUAGCCUCGGGCCAGAAACCCUCCUGUGGCUCCAUUACCGUUUCUCAAGACAGUCAUCAGGUUGCAUGCUGUUCUACAAAGUGCCAUCGUGUCUGUGACCUGUAACUGUGAGAGAGCCGCGUCCUUGGGAAGGCAGGAGGCCCUCGUGGUGAGCCUUGGGCGACACUAGGCCAUGGCUCCUUGGGAUGAGCCAGUGCGGAGUAGCACCAAGAUGCCUUGUCCUCUGUUCGAGUUUACUGCGGGAAGGAGACAUCCCUUGUCUGUCUGUCUCUCUCUCUCUCUCUCUCUCUCUCACGCAGACACACACACACACACACACACACACACACACACACACAUGCCGUCCAACCGCUCAGAUACUAAUUAGCAUCACUUUUCCUCUGGGAAAGAAUGGUGGGCUAAAGUAGCCCAUGUCUUGUUGAACUUACAAAAUUACUUAAAACUCUUGGAGAGGGUAUUGGACUUAUUAAGAAGGGCCUCCUGGGCGUAUGAAAGAAACCAUUUUUAAGGCAGCUUCAUAAAUUAUCAGAGUGUUGCUUAUUUUAACUAGGUCUUUCAAAAUGUGUUGGAGGGAAAAAGCAACAAAAAGCAAAACUACAUGGAUGUGUUUUGUCCUGAGGCAGACUUUAAGUCCUGGGAACUUAUCUUGGGCUGCAGAAAGCUUCGUGCCGUGGGAAGAUGUUGGCUUGGUCCAAGGUUAAAUAUUAAGUCGGGAACGUCCUGGUGUCUUGCUAGCCAUUAGCAGCUGGCUGCUUCUGUUGAAUUGUGCUCCGUGUAUAUUAAGAUGUAAAAUUCAAAGCUCACGGCCCGUAAGGUCCCUCAGGCUAACGCCGUCUCCACUGCCCCGGUCUGGCCUCUUGACAGUGUGGGCAGCACCGGUUCUGCUGUGUGGGCCGGUGGUCAGUGGUGCUAGAACAGCCAGUGUGGUGGCCAAGGGCAGACCCCGUCCGUACCAGCUCGCUAUUGCCACCAAAAUGGGCAAAGGCCCCGAACAGACAGCCCUCAGAAGAAAAAGAGAUGCCCGACAAAUACGGGAGAAAACGCUCAGGGUCGCUAGCCAUCAGGAAAACGCAACCCACAUCACAACGCGAGCCCCUCUCCCCUGCUGGGACGCUAUCAGAGAGGCAAAGAACAGGUGCUAGUGAGGAAGCGGAGCGAAGGGAACUCUGAUUCUAAGACUGAUUGAUUGAUUUGGAAGUCAGGGUUACAGAGCGAGAAAGAGGCCUUCCAUCCGCUGGUUCACUCCCCAGCCGGCCACAAUGGCCGGGGCUGGGCCGGGCUAAAGUCAGGAGCCAAGAGCUUCUUCCAGGUCUCCCACUUGGGUGGCAGGGGCUCCCGCACCUGGGCCAUCUUCUGUUGCUUUUCCCAGGCCAUUAGCAGGGAGCUUGAUUGGAGGUGGAGCAGCUGGGACAUGUGUCACAGGUGAUGGCUCUACCCACUAUGCCAUAACACUGGCCCCAAAGAGAGCUCUUAGACACUGUUGGUGGGAUGUGAAUUGGUAUAGCCACUAGGGAAAACGGUAUGGAGAUAUUGAAAAACUGGAAAUAGAGCUGCCGUGUGAUCCGGAAACCCUACUACUGGGUGUACAUCCAAAAGAUAUUAGAUCUCUGUUUCAAAGACAUAGCUAUUUUCCCACGUUGAAUACAGCACUGUUCUUUUCUUUCUUUCUUUUCUUUUCUUUUUUUUUUACAGGCAGAGUGGACAGUGAGAGAGAGAGAGAGACAGAGAGAAAGGUCUUCCUUUGCUGUUGGUUCACCCUCCAAUGGCCACCGCGGCCGGCGCACCGCGCUGAUCUGAUGGCAGGAGCCAGGUGCUUCUCCUGGUCUCCCAUGGGGUGCAGGGCCCAAGCACUUGGGCCAUCCUCCACUGCACUCCCUGGCCACAGCAGAGAGCUGGCCUGGAAGAGGGGUAACCAGGACAGAGUCGGGCUCCCCGACCGGGACUAGAACCCAGUGUGCCGGCGCCGCAAGGCGGAGGAUUAGCCUAGUGAGCCGCGGCGCCGGCCAGCACUGUUCUUAAAAGCCAAGACAGAGACUCGACCCGGGGGUCCAUCAUCAGGUGACUAAGGGAAACAUGACACACAGUACUGUUCAGUCAUAAAGGAAUAAAACCCUGUCACUCGCAGGAGAGUGGGUGGAACAGGAAGCCAUCAUGUUUCCAUGUUUAGUGAAAUAAGCCAUACACAGAAAGACAGAUGCCACAUGGUCUGUCUCACAAGUGGAGGCUAAAAACCCCCGAAACUCUGAACCCAGAAUGGUGAUCCUAGAGGCUGGGAGUGCUAGGGGUUCAGGGAGUUUAGGUAGUAGACAGCAACUCAGAGUUAGACCUGACUAGGCUUUGUAGUCCUGCCUUCCUGGAGCUCACACACGAGACUGGAGCCUAGGGGCGGAGGCGUCUGACCCUCAGAGGUGGUGUCCUUGGCUCAAAGCUCAGGGCCCCUCCUUAGGGUUAGUCGUUUCCCAAGAGGACCCCUCGUGUCUCAGCAGCCUUUUGGUUGGAGGUUUGAAAGAACCUUCAUUGUAACCUGGGGCCCGUAGCUGUCCCCCGGGAGCCAUCGGGGGCCGUGCAGCUGACCGCUGGUGAGAGGAGGUGGCGGCGAAACCCCGACUGUAGUCGUGCUGGGUUUCUCUAGACCUUUGCCGGGUCCCUCCGCAGAGCCAGGUGCAGGGUGCGGAAGGGGGCGUGGCCUGUCGCCUGAGCGUGGAGUCCCGGCUCUGCGUCUGGCUGCCUGAGGCUCAGGGACUUGGACAGAGGGGAGCUGCUUGGUCGCCACUGAACUCUGGAUUAUUCGUGCCUGCUUGGGUGGUACGUUCCUCCGUAGUUGGGCCCAGGCAAGUCCUGGUGGGCACUGGGCUACAGAGUGAGCCAGAGGAGGCCCUGCGCCCCUGGGGUGCGGUUUGUGGGGGAGCAGCUGAGAGGUGGUGGUGCCACCUGGUAAGGCUGCAAGAGAGGCGCGUGGGCUGCGGCAGGCUGUGCAGGGCAGCUUCCAGGGCGGGAGGACUCGGGCACUGUGCGUGGAGGGGGAGCAGAGCAGGCGUGGGGGGGGGGCUCCAUGAAGAACCGAGGCGUCUGAGUGAAGGGGGCGUCAGGAGAUAGAGGGAGGCACUGGAGCGUGGCACACACCCGGGAGUCGGGACCUCGUCUUGCAGCCAGUGGCCCCCAGCAGAGGUGCCCUCGACCUGCUCCGUGCAGCUGGGCGUGCUCAAGGAGCGCUUGGAGACGGUGUGGGCCGUGACCUCUGCCGCACCGACCCAGCAGGUCCUGGCUAGAACCUGAGCCUGUCUCCCCCGCUCAGUUCCCCUGCCCUGGCCAUGGCCGCUGUCUCAGGGCAGGAGCAGCCUUGGCGGGGUUGGGCCCAAGAGUGACACCAGAGACGCCGUGGCAGCCUCCUGCAGGGGCCGCCCAGAGGACUUCACAAGGGCCGUGUGAACGCCAUGCUUCCUGUUCCCUCUGGAGCCCAGCUCUCACGUUAUCUCCGGCUGCAGCUGAGGGAAAGCCUGCGGAAACAGUGGGCACGAAGGUGACCGGGGGCAGCCGAACACCCGGCAGACCGGGGAGCUUCCGUCUCAUCAAGACAGAGGGACGGCCAUCUGGGAGUCACUGGGUCACUCACAGGGACCAGGGGUCAAGCCAGGAAGUGCUAUUUGUGGCCAGGACUCAAGGAUGUUUUUAUUUUUUCUCUCCAGAGAGUGUGAAUUCUGGAAGACCUGCUGUCUCUUAGAGCAGUCAGCUCUUCCUUAGAAACCAUGAUCUCUAGUGGGCUGCAGCCUCGUUCAGAAGCACACCAUUUCCAGAGGUCCAGGAGCUGGAUGACGCUCUCUGCACUCUGUUAAACAGGGCUGAAAAGUCCAUUUGUAGAAGAACGCAGCUCUGUUCUGUCUGUCUGCAUACUCAGAGUACCUAAGAAAACACCACACGUGGUUAAGAUAAGGAAAAAGAGCAUAGAGCAUCUGGUAGUCACGUGUGAUUGUUCUCUGGUUGUAGUCGUGGUAAAGCUGUUCUCACCGGGGUGGGGAGUGAGUAGAAUGCGUUUUCUACAGCCAGGCGUCUGGGCAGCGGGGAGCUCCAUGCACGGAGGACUCCCUUGCAGAGGUGGUCAUCACGCCUGGAGGGCUGUCGAGUUUGGAACAAAUUGUCCCCCUGCUCAGAAGCGUCCGAGUGGUCAGAGUCGGCAAGUGCGCAGCACAGGUAGAAGGGAAGGUUGUCUUGUCUAGGAGGGGAAGGGCCCAUGGGUGCUGCGCACCUGCCAUGCGCUGGGUACCCUGAGCGCGUGGUGUGCACAGUGGCCAGCAGCGUCUUAGCUGCUCCACCUGGGGCCAGCUGCACAACACCUCUGUGCUGUGUUCGCUUCUUUGAAAAUGAGGAGAAAUUGUUACAGACCCUCGUAAGGAGAUGUUAAAUGUUUGAUGAGUUAAUUCAUGGCUAAGUGCUUCUAGGAGUGCUUGGCGUAUACUAAGCUCCACUGUUCCUUGAGUCCUCUCAGCCGUGCCGAGCGGUCACUGUUACCUGCUCUUGUAGUGAGGAAGGUAGGGAGUGUAGGGCGGCUGGGCUGUCUGCUCAGGCACUCCUGCUGUGGGGCAGCGUGAAAGCUGGGAAUGGCUGGUUCUCCAUCCUGCUCUCUGCCCAAACUUUGGCAUCGGAUGCUCCCGGGUCAGAUGUCAGCUGGCUCUGGACCAGCAGUGCCAAGUCAGGGGACCUUCAGGACAAAACCAGCGGUGUGAAAGCCCCAGUUCUGAACCCGACUCGGGCUUUUAUACCCAACUGUCUUGACAACUAACCUGCCAAGGGCCUCCCACUGGACCCUCCUCCUAAACACUGUAAUUGGGUUAAGUAUCUCUUACUACCUUCACCUAUGGCCUUCGGUUUAAGUGUCUGCAAGAGUUCAGGUCAAACUCCCAGCCUCCCCAGGUGCUGCCUGAGCUGCAGGCCUGUUCACUGCUUCUCCCUCCACAGACGCAGGCUCCUGUUCUGCUGAGCGAGCGGCAGUCCCCACACUGAGUCAGCACAUCUUUAACGAGUGUAGGUGGGGUUUUCUCCCCCGGGAGAGCCCCCCAUUUGACUGAGUGUGGCUGGCCUAUCAGCAGGUUACUCAAAGUAAAAUCACUAUUACUGUUGUUUUAUGAGAGGCGGCGAGUGGGAGCCAGGCGGGAACCUGGGAAGCUUUUGCCAGAACAUGAACCAUGCGAUUUACUAUUUUUUUUCUUUUUUACUGUCUGCGUCAGCUCUUAAAAAUAUGCAAAAGGGCUGGCGCUGCGGCUCACUAGGCUAAUCCUCCGCCUGCGGCACACCCGGUUCUAGUCCCGGUCGGGGCACCGGAUUCUGUCCCGGUUGCCCCCCUUCCAGGCCAGCUCUCUGCUGUGGCCCGGGAGGGCAGUGGAGGAUGGCCCAAGUGCUUGGGCCCUGCACCCCAUGGGAGACCAGGAAAAGCACCUGGCUCCUGGCUUCAGAUCAGCGCAGUGUGCCGGCUGUAGCAGCCAUUUGGUGGGUGAACCAACGGAAGGAAGACCUUUCUCUCUCUGUCUCUCUCUCUCACUGUCCACUCUGCCUGUCAAAAAAAUAUGCAAAAGAAGUUUGCUGGUUGGGAGCAGCUGGCCUUUGUGGCCACUGUUUCUGGAAUCUCUGGGCCCAGGACUGGUUUUCUCAGUGGCUCAUUUUUCAGAGAAAGGCAAGAUGCUCCAUGGCUGGAACUUUGUGGAGUGAGCUCCUCUCUCAGAACAAGUGUUUGCCACUGCUCUGACGUGGGUUCUCUAAGGGGAGGUGCCGGGGGCCUUUGCCCGCAUUUCAGGAGUGAAGGAGGAUGGGUCUUCUGCAGGCGUCACCUAACAGAGGAAGAGACAGAGAGAGAGGAGGUCUUCCCUCUGCUGGUUCACUCCCCAGGUGGCUGCAGCAGCCGAAACUGGGCCAUGCUGCAGCCAGGAGCCAGGAGCUUCUUCCGGGUCUCCUACGUGGGUGCAGGGGCCCAAGCACUCGGGCCUUCUUCUGCCACUUUCCCAGGUGCAUUAGCAGGGAGCUGGGUUGGAAGUGGAGCAGCCGGGGCUCAAACCAGCACCAUAUGGGUUGCCUGUAGCACUGCUUUAGUCAGCUGGGUGCGCCGGCCCCUUUCGGGUGUCUGUACGGUGGAGGCCCCACAGCCGGGUCCCCGCCUCACCACAGCAGGGGACGUCUGGUGAUCUUCUUCCGGGUGUGGAAGAUGGGGCUGGCGUCCUGAGCUGGCGGGGGGGAAGUCCUUGUGUAUGGCCCUGCUCGGCCCCCUCCCGCUCUGUCAGAUGUGCAGGGGACUGAGGUCCCCUUGGUGCCGAGGGCUGAGCCAGCCAUGUGCCCGCCCCGCAGCCUGCCCGUCCCCGUCACUCAGCUACCAUGGCGCCGGGGUGUCAGCCCGGGGCCCAGACCCCUGGGGACAGGAGAACAGCCACAUCUUUACUCUCACCGACUUCAACUGAAACGGAGCAUUUUGUCCAGCUAUGGGUGUAGGCAACAGAGCAGCCGCGGUAGCGGUACCUGUGCUGUCACAAAUGGAAACCACUGGCACUCCCGAGUCACGUUAGAAUAAUUGCAGAUAUUUCACACUGUCAUCUACAGAGUCACGGCUGUAAUUAGAUUCCCCACCAGAUCUCACUCUUUGAUAGGUUAUUAAAAAUGACAGGUUGCCACACCACACAUCUGUCUGAUGUAAUGAUCACUGUGCUUUUGUAUCAUUAAUUUCUUUGUCAUCCCGGUGUUCAUUUUCUGCAUUGUUUGGAGAAAGGGUUUAUUUGUUUCCCUGUGCUGUCAAGGGUGUCUGGUGGCAGAGAAACUGGUUAAGGGGCCGGCAUUACGGCACAGCGGGUUAGACCCCCCAACCCUGUGGCACCAGCGUCCCAUAUUGGAGUGCCGUGCGAGUGCACUUCCAAUCCAGCUUCCUGCCAAUGCACUAGGGAAGCAGCAGAGGGUGGACUUGGGCCCCUGCUACUGCGCGGGAGACCCGGAUAGAGUUCCGGGCGCCUGUCUUUGGCCUGGCCCAUCCCCCACAUUGUAGCCAGUUGGGGAGCGAAACAGUGGGUGGAAGGUUUCUCUCUCCCUUUCUCUGUCUGUCUGUCUGUCUCUCUCUCUCGCUCUGCCUUUCAAAUAAAUAAGUAAGUCUUAAAAAAAAAAAAAAAACAAAAAACAAAACAGGUUAAAACCCUGCGUUCUAACAGUGUUCCUGGAUAUGUGAGAGAAUGUGCCUGCUGGGCUGAUGCCCAGAACUGGGCUCCCCUGUAGGCUGCUGUCCUUGUCCUGGCCAGAACCAUCUGGCCCUGGAAGCCCUGGAGGCCAUGUUUCCCUGUCUGGGUGCCUCCUGAUGUCUGGGGUAGUGCCAAUCGGGAAGCACACGUUCUCGCCGCCUCUGUGAGACCCACUUCACAGCUCUGAGAGCUCGGGAACCCAGAGCUGCGCCCAGAGCAGGGCCAGCCGGCGUGGGGGUGGCCGUGGGCGAGUCGGACUGGCCUUGAGAGGGUUUCAGGGGCUGUAUCUGGCCAGAGGUGCAGAACCCAGGAGGCACCAGUUGCCAGUCUCCCUGCCCUGCCCAGUCCCGAAGGUACAGCCUCAGUGUGUUUUCCUGACCGUCCACACCCUGUGCUUUGUUCCUGGGCGAGCCAGAAGCAGGGAAACCUCACAGCCAUGGCAGCCUGACCUAUCACGGGCCCACCCUGGCGCUCGUGGUGGCUGCCAGCUCCUGGGGCGCAGGUCGGCGUCCUGCUGCUGGUGGCAAAGAGCCUAGGUGGGGCCGUGGGAGCAGUACUCGGGGUGGCUGCCCCCUCCCGGGGCGCGCAGGUCGGCGUCCUGCUGCCGGUGGCAAAGAGCCUAGGUAUGGCCGUGGGAGCAGCGCUUGGGGUGGCUGCCCCCUCCCGGCACGCGCAGGUCGGCGUCCUGCUGCCGAUGGCAAGUAGCCUAGGUACGGCCGUGGGAGCAGCGCUCGGGGUGGCUGCCCCCUCCCGGCGUGCGCAGGUCAGCGUCCUGCUGCUGGUGGCAUGGAGCCCAGGUGGGGCAGCGGGAGCGGUGCCCAGCGGCCGGGUCACUCCUGUCAAAUGACACCAGGCCUGCCAUGGCCCACGGGUCGUGGGAUUUCCUCUGCCUCCCAAAGCGUUCUUUGUCCUUAAUCCCGGCAUUACUGCGGAUGAGCCUGAUUUCUUCCAGAUGUCCUGAACACUGAGGACUCUGGAGGCAGGGCUGAUGGGAUGUGCAUUCCUCCCUGGGCUGGGGACCAGCGCUCCUUCUCACAGCCACACGCAGGGGCCGGCGGCACCCUCUGGCUUGCCGCGUUGGCCCCCAGCGAUUCUGACCCCGAGGAGCUGUUGAGUGACCCGGAGCUGGGGCCGGGCCGGGUCCGCAGGGGUGAGGCAGCACAUGGUCGCCUCAGUUCUCUGAAUACCGCAGGGAGCCCCCUGUUCGGUUCAGAGCGCCUCAGCCAGCGCCGCUCCUGCAGCACCGACACGAGUGGAGGGAGAGGAUUUCUGGCGUCACAGGAGUGGGUUUUCAAGCCAGAAGCUCAGCCGCAGGACCCGCUUCCCUGCCGCCCGUGGGCUGGCGCUGAGGACCCCUGCAGAGGCCCUGGGACCCCUCGCUGUAGGAACCGCGUGGGUCUGCGUGCAGGCUGAGGGAGGCUGUAGCGUGCUGACACAGGAGGUCUGCAGCAGGCUGAGGGAGGCUGUAGCGUGGUGACACGGGAGGUCUGCGUGCAGGCUGAGGGAGGCUGUAGCGUGGUGACACGGGAGGUCUGCAGCAGGCUGAGGGAGGCUGUAGCGUGGUGACACGGGAGGUCUGCGUGCAGGCUGAGGGAGGCUGUAGCGUGGUGACACGGGAGGUCUGCGUGCAGGCUGAGGGAGGCUGUAGCGUGGUGACACGGGAGGUCUGCGUGCAGGCUGAGGGAGGCUGUAGCGUGGUGACACGGGAGGUCUGUGUGCAGGCUGAGGGAGGCUGUAGCGUGGUGACACGGGAGGUCUGCAGCAGGCUGAGGGAGGCUGUAGCGUGGUGACACGGGAGGUCUGCAGCAGGCUGAGGGAGGCUGUAGCGUGGUGACACGGGAGGUCUGCGUGCAGGCUGAGGGAGGCUGUAGCGUGGUGACACGGGAGGUCUGUGUGCAGGCUGAGGGAGGCUGUAGCGUGGUGACACGGGAGGUCUGCGUGCAGGCUGAGGGAGGCUGUAGCGUGGUGACACGGGAGGUCUGUGUGCAGGCUGAGGGAGGCUGUAGUGUGGUGACACGGGAGGUCUGUGUGCAGGCUGAGGGAGGCUGUAGUGUGGUGACACGGGAGGCCUGCAGCAGGCUGAGGGAGGCUGUAGCGUGGUGACACGGGAGGUCUGUGUGCAGGCUGAGGGAGGCUGUAGCGUGGUGACACGGGAGGUCUGUGUGCAGGCUGAGGGAGGCUGUAGCGUGGUGACACGGGAGGCACAUCUUGAACUCUGGCACAGUGACUCCCUGCUGGAGAGGGCAGACCUGCAGCUGCUUGUGUUGAGCGCCCUGUGUUUACUGGCGGCCUGAUUGGUUUUGUUGCAUUUGAGGAUGUAAGCGAUAUACAUGGUUCUUUUUAAAGAUUUACUUAUUUUAUUUACUUGAAAGAGUUCCAGAGAGGGAGAUACACACACAGAGAGAGAGAGAGAGAGAGAGAGAGAGAGAGAGAUGUUCCAUCCACUGGUUCACUUCCCCACAUGGCCUCCAUGGCCAGGGAUGGCCUCCAUGGCCAGGGAUGGCCAGGCUGAAGCUGGGAGCCAGGAGCUCCUUCUGGGUCUCCCACGUAGGUGCAGGGGCCCAAGGACUUGGACCACCCUCUGCUGCUGUCCCUGCUGCGUUAGCAGGGAGCUGGGUCAGAACUGGUGCAGCUGGGACUUGAACCAGUGCCCAUGUGGGACCUGGUGCUUUAACCCACUGCGCCACAAAGCUAGCCCCAAGCAACAUAAACAUUACAGCUGCAUUAGUGCCCCUUAUUCCUGGGCACUCGGUGCCCAGUGGGUGCCUGAAGCAGGGUGGAGCUAAACUCUUGUGGCCGGCAGUGUGGCUCAGUGAGUCACCCCAGCGCUAGUUCAACGCUGCCCCUCUUCUGAUGCAGCUCCCCGCUAGUGCACCUGGGAAGGGAGUGGAAGAUGGGCCAAGCAGCUGGGCCCUGCCACCCAAGUGGGAGACUCAGACGGAGUUCCUAGCUCCAGGCUUUGGGCUGCGUCAGCCUUUGCCGUUGUGGCCAUUUGGGGAGUGAACCAGUGGGUGGGAGACCUCUCUCCGUCUCUCUCUAUUGUUCUAUAUUUCAAAUAGAUAAAUCAAAACAAGAACCAAAUCCUACAUGUGUACGUUUCUUCCUCUACCUUGCGUGCCUAUGAUCAAAUUUAACCUGAACUGGGCUCAGGAAGAGGUGAACAGUAAUGACGAGCAGCAGAGUGAGACAGUCAUAGGAAUGUCCUGGAAUAGAAUCGCCGGUGCUGCUCUCUUUGGCUUUGGGGCCAGGACUCAGGAAAACCAGGGUUACUUGAAGGCAAGCGCUGCGAGGCAGCUAAGGGACUGACGGGGGCAGGGCCCACGGUGUUGUACACUGGACGGAGACUGGACCAGGGUGGCACGCGAGAUUCCGUUGUGCUGUGCAGACGGCGUCCCACUUCAAACUCGUUUAUUUCUGGGGUUGCCCCUUUAAUACUUGGGUCCCUGAAACUGUGAGAAGAGAGACCCUAUUAAAGUUAGGGAAUGAAAACGAAGAGCAGAAAUGAAUGAAUGGAGACCGUUACUCUUUAUGUCUUCUUCAAAUGAGUUUGAAUGCAGAAAGAUGCCCACACAGGUGCUGGGGUGGGGUGGGCCUGGUCCCAGCUCGGGGAGGACAUCAGCUGGAGCUGCUGCAGGUCCCGAGUACCCAGGAGAGAACGGAGGGGCCGGGGCAGGGCAGCGCGGCCUGUCUGAGAAGCAGGCUGGUCAGGUGUGGCGCUGAGCUUCAAACACAGAGAAGGAGAGCAUCUUGAGCUGGCCGGGCUAGGGGUCAGCAGAAGGCUGGAGCGGGCGGCCCAGGGCGGAGGCUGUGUUGUGUGAGGGGAGCUCGGAGGGGCAGCCCUGGUUCCCCGCGUCUGCGGGCAUGCCCGCCCCGCCACCAUCACGUGCAUCCCACAAGGCCGCUGACCAGGGGACGAGUGCGUGUCAGGUUGUGGUGGGACGCUGAGUGUCUGGGAGGGAACGCACGCGUGCUGUGUGCCUGUUCUUUCCUGACAUCUCACAGCAUGCACCAGGACGUUCACAAGCCACCGACUGUUGGAAGCUCGGUGUUGUCAGUCUGAUGUUUAACUGCCCAGUCUUACUGCAGUGUCUUUUCCCUAGACCACCGCCUCACAUGCAGUUUCGAUAGCACGGUUAAGUACAUCCAUCGAAGGUCUGUCACAGACCAGCCGUAUCAUACUGUCAAAAGUCAAACACAUAGAAUCCCUUGAGUAUCUAGAUUCCCAACUGCUAAAAAUGCAAUGCGAGCCGUGUGUGCAAUUUUGAAGUUUGUAGUAGCCACAUUGAAAAGUAAAGUGAAACUGUUGAAAUAGGCUGUACUUAAUCCUGUACACCCAAAAUAUGAUUGUGAGCGACAGUAAAGCAAUCACUGCUCAUGUUGUGUGUGUGUGUGUGUGUGUGUGUGUGAAAUCGAGAUCAGCCACAAAGUGCUGAGCGUAGGCCUAGAACUUGGACUUUGGAGCCAGCUCACGCGCUGGGUGGGCACAGGAGCUGGGGUCUUUCUGCACCCGUUCCUGUCCGUCUUGGUUGAGGAAUGCUGCCAGGUGUGAGGGGUUUGUUCCCGUGUUUUUUGUUUUUUUUUGCAGUAGUAGCCGUCCUCGUGGUAAUGAACUGGGGAAUGAUCGUUCUCAGAAAGUUGUGAGCGAGGGCCAGUGUUGGCGCAGUGAGCUAGGCUGCCGUCUGAUGCUGCGUCCCAUACUGGAGCACUGGUUUGAACCUGCCCGCUCCACUUCCAGUCCCGCUUCCUGCUCGUGCUCCUGGGAAGGCAGCAGAAGGUGCCCAAGUCCUUGGGUCCCUGCCACCCAUGUGGGGGAGCCAGGUGAAGCUGCUGGCUCCUGGCUUCAGCCUGGCCCAGGUCUGGCUGUGUGACCACUUGGGGAACGAACCAGUGGAUGCAAGAUCCCUCUCUGCUGUCCAAAUAAAUAAGUAAAUCUUUGUCAAGUUGUGAAUGUUUGGAUACAUGACUGGAAUGAGGCAGGGAGGGAGGAGAAGGAGGGGGAAGGCAGGACUUGGCACCCUGUGCAGUUAUCCUAGUUGUGAUUACAGGUACUAUGGUCGAGAGGUGACAGGACGAUGGGGUAGAAGUUCUGUGCAGACACAGUUACUAGGGUGCACGUCACUCACUCUGGUGUCAGCUUCCUUUAUUCAGGCUAGAUUCGUGCCAGGAGCAAAAAGAAAAUAAAUUUUAUUUUUAAAUUUAAGUAAGAUCCCAGUUUUUGAAGAUGGAAGGGGAAUCUAACUGAGCCAAGGGAGAAGCUGCCAGCCCCCGCGCAGCUCCCUGGAGAAUCUUCACAAGGAAUCAGCUGGCGGAAGGGGAAACGUGGCCGUGGUGGCCUCUGGGAGCAGCUUGUGCGACUGACAGGAGGUGCACUGCGUGUCCCCAACAAGCGGUUUGGGUGGUGGUGUUUGCGAGGAAUGGGGUCAGAGGACAAGCUCUCCUGAGAUGCUUAGGGUGCAGCUGGUGGCUCCUGACGUUUGAAGUGGUGAAGGAUUUGGUACUCAGCUGAAGUGUAGACACAGUGACACCUCGAAAAACAGCUGUCACAGGAGACGUUAAGACAGAAGCUUUGCCGGCGCCGUGGCUCACUAGGCUAAUCCUCCACCUAGCAGCGCCGGCACACCGGGUUCUAGUCCCGGUCAGGGCACCAGAUUCUGUCCCGGUUGCCCCUCUUCCAGGCCAGCUCUCUGCUGUGGCCCGGGAGGGCAGUGGAGGAUGGCCCAAGUGCUUGGGCCCUGCACCCCAUGGGAGACCAGGAAAAGCACCUGGCUCCUGCCAUCGGAUCAGCGCGGUGCGCCGGCCGCAGCGCUCCGGCCGCGGCGGCCAUUGGAGAGUGAACCAACGGCAAAGGAAGACCUUUCUCUCUGUCUCUCUCUCUCUCUCACUGUCCACUCUGCCUGUCAAAAAAAAAAAAAAAAAAAAAAAAAAAAAAGACAGAAGCUUUAAUCUCCGAUGAGCACUGUGUUUCCAGCAGGCCAUCUGAGGGCUACGAGAUCAGCUCUGUGGAAACAGAAUCGUAACAGCUGCGUCUUACUCUUACCACAAGGACCCCUGUGCGAGGUGACGAGCCCCCCUCGAGAGGCCGCACACGCAGGUCAGGGUUCGUGGGGGCAUCUCUCAGGGAGAGCCCUCCUCGGAAGCUGAAGACUGUUCUCCCAUAACCAGGUGAGCACCCGUGGGACGUGUGGCCCGAGACUCCCAGGCCCGGCCGUUUUCAUCUUUCCGCAGCCCCGUCAGGUCCUCCUCUUUCCUGACGUCAUUCAGACUCUGGCCGGAGCCUUCCUGGCUGAGACCGGUUUGUAUAACAGCCGUGGCUCAGGCCCCUUCACGCCAGAGGAAGCGGGUGCUGGCCCCAGCUCAGCCCCUGCGUGGGCACGUGGGCGGGCAGGUCCUCUCUCCAGGGCCAGCUCCUCCGCUGUAGGAAGUGCAGGGUCAGCUCGUGGCCUGGGCGGGGCUGUCACUGUGCUCAGUCAUUGGUUCAUUCACUGAACACCUGCUGUGAGAGCCCAGCCGCUGAGUGCUGCUGACAGUCUGAGAUGGUCAGGCCAGAGUCUCUGUGCCCAGGAAGUCCGCAGGUGCCUCCUCGGGUGUUGAAGAACCGUCUUUCUGCUUGUCAAGGCAUUGCGUCCCUGAGAGGUGUGUGCCGGGCACAGCUCUGCCUCGGGAGUUCAGUGAUGAGUACGACCAGGCCAGAGUUCCUGCCUGCUGGUGUUGGGGUUCCAGUGGAGAGGGAGCGCCUAGGCGAGUAGCCACGCGAAUAAAUGGACGACCCCAGCCACCAUGAUGGAGCGCAGGGGCUGGGGGCUCCUGGCGGGAGGAUUUGUCUUACGGAGGGCGGACAUGGCGCCGUGGGCAGUGAGGGAGGGGCGGGGCUUUGACGUGCAGGAGGCACCGUGCCGGUCACCCUAGCCCCCUGCAGCUCCCCAGACAGGACUCUCACCGGGACCCUCCCAGGGCCCUGAGGCUGCAGGAUGAUAACGUGUUCGACGGGACCCAGCACCACGCUGCAGAAUCACAUUUCUGUUCCAUUUCUAAGAAUAACUUUGGAAGGAGAUGUACUAUUUUGGUUAUAGAUUUUUAACCGUGGAGAAAGAAUGAAAACAACUUGGAGGCUUUGACGGAGUCUGGGCUCCCAGCAUGCCCUGCGAGGUGCCCAGUCACGCGGCUCUGAGACCCAGGAAUGAGCCUGCUGCAGGAUCAGAUGACGGCGGCCUGAGUCCGGGGGUGACGGAGGCUGAGAUGUCCCUGGGCUGGUCCCCUGAUGCUGACACGCGAGAAGAGGGCCCCGAGCACGCGAGCAGCCCUGGCAUGGAAAGGCUCUCUGUGUUGCCUGCUUACUCCACGGAAGCCGCGGGCCUGCCCGGGGGCCGGGCCGCUGGCAGUGCUUCCGCAGCCCUCCUGGGGUGGAGCGGGGUUAGCUCCGUCUCAGCCCCAGGCCGCAGGAUUCCUCCUCGAUGCUGACCGAGGCAAACGGGAGGACAGAAAUAACCCAUUGACUGUUUAAAAUGACGCUGGCCAACACUAAUAAACCAUGGCCACCCUGGCCCAAGGUCAGGGUCUUCAUUUGCUGGAGGCCGUUCAAGAAUUCGGAACUCAGAGCUCUGAGCUAAUUUUUCACAUCUCGCUUGGAUCCUCGGAGCGCUCGCUCCCAAGGCAGGGCCCUCGAUGUCUCACUGCACAUGUUAUUCUUGUUGGCGUGCCAGGCCUGCCGGAGCGCGAGGGCCUCGCUUCAUGGGUGGGUGACGGUGAUUCCCCCGCCCCAGUUCAGAUUUCAAAGCACCGCGGCCUGUUGAGAUUCGGGAUAAUUCUCUGUUAUGCUGUGUUAGCUGUGUUAAUGGCUGUAAACAACAAGAACAUGCUGGUUCAUUUAGGCACGAAGGGGAGUUGUUGGGAGGAUACGGGCUAGUUCUGAGCAUAGACAGGCGGCUAGGGAACCACCUUGGGCGGGAAACGGGAGUCCGGCUGCACCCCUGGGCUCUCACCUCCUCUGCAGCUACUGACAUGGUCCCAGGGCACCUGUCUCUGCGCAGCCCUCAAAGUUCACAGCCCCAGGCGGGAGUGUGCGUCACCCUGGUAAGGCCAUGGGACCACCCUCAGACCACACGAUUGUACUGAUUCGUGACCCACACCCUAGUGACCUAGAGGGGGGGAGGGAGGGGUCGCGCGCUUGCUGCCUCUUCCACCUCGUCUUGGGAGUCCCGGGACAGGGAGGGAUCGGGGUACCGGGCAGCCAGAAACAGCCACGGCCGCGCCAGCCUCCCCUCUGCAAUCACACCUUCCACCUGCUGAUCGCCCGUCGGCCGCCCACGUGGACUUCUUUUGUCCAAAGCACAGACCACGUGGUAACCACCAAGCUCACGUGCGCUUUGUCAGCCUCAGCCUGGUCUCCUGGGCUGCCGCCUCCCUGCAUCCCCUCACCCCUCAAACACCCACAGUCCUACUUCUGUUGUCUUCCAGCUACGGCCCGUCAGACCACUGCCCACGUGUGCAUCUGCACCUGCCUUCACUGCCGCUCCCCGCCCCAUGCCCGUCCUGUGGGUCACCAGGCUGGCCCUGCGCCCGUCUCCCGUCCUGUGGGUCACCAGGCCGGCCCAGGGCCCGUCUCCUGUCCCAUGGGUCACUGGGCCUGCCCAGGGCCUGUCUCCCUUCCUGUGGGUCACCAGGCCAGCCCAGGGCCCGUCUCCCGUCCUGUGGGUCACCAGGCCGGCCCUGCGCCCGUCUCCCGUCCUGUGGGUCACCAG
Molecule: non-coding RNA, 16588 nt
Organism: Oryctolagus cuniculus (rabbit)
Lineage: Eukaryota; Metazoa; Chordata; Mammalia; Lagomorpha; Leporidae
Source: RefSeq, a predicted model, not a curated record